This 292-nucleotide ribosomal RNA is filed under the name Chrysomya megacephala (oriental latrine fly). Its description in RNAcentral is "partial 16S ribosomal RNA". The record is from RNAcentral. Lineage: Eukaryota; Metazoa; Arthropoda; Insecta; Diptera; Calliphoridae.
CUCUCUGGUAUGAAAGGUUUGACGAGAUAUUAACUGUUUCAUAAAAAUUUAUAAUAGAAUUUUAUUUUUUAGUCAAAAAGCUAAAAUAUAUUUAAAAGACGAGAAGACCCUAUAAAUCUUUAUAUUUAGGUUAUUAUAAUUUUAUAGAUUUUUUUUGUUAUAAUAAUUGAUAAUAUUUUAUUGGGGUGAUAUUAAAAUUUGAUAAACUUUUAAUUGUUUAAAUCAUUAAUUUAUGAAUAAUUGAUCCGUUAUUAGCGAUUAAAAAAAUAAGUUACCUUAGGGAUAACAGCGA